RNAcentral lists this ribosomal RNA (253 nucleotides) under uncultured bacterium. RNAcentral describes it as "partial 16S ribosomal RNA". It matches the Rfam family "Bacterial small subunit ribosomal RNA", at positions 524 to 776 of the family's 1533-position model. The record is from RNAcentral.
UACGGAGGGGGCUAGCGUUGUUCGGAAUCACUGGGCGUAAAGCGCGCGUAGGCGGCUAGGUAAGUUAGAAGUGAAAGCCCGGAGCUUAACUCCGGAAAUGCUUUUAAAACUGCCUGGCUUGAGAAUGGUAGAGGAGAGUGGAAUUCCUAGUGUAGAGGUGAAAUUCGUAGAUAUUAGGAGGAACACCAGAGGCGAAGGCGGCUCUCUGGGCCAUUUCUGACGCUAAGGCGCGAAAGCGUGGGGAGCAAACAGG